AAGUCGAGCGCACUGGCCCAACUGAUCUGACGUGCUUGCGCUGAAGUGACGACCGAUUACCAGUGAGCGGCGGACGGGUGAGCAACACGUGGGCAACCUGCCCUGAAGCGGGGGAUAACAUUUGGAAACAGGUGCUAAUACCGCAUAACAACGAAAACCACAUGGUUUUCGUUUCAAAGAUGGUUUCGGCUAUCACUUCAGGAUGGGCCCGCGGUGCAUUAGCUUGUUGGUAGGGUAACGGCCUACCAAGGCAAUGAUGCAUAGCCGAGUUGAGAGACUGAUCGGCCACAAUGGAACUGAGACACGGUCCAUACUCCUACGGGAGGCAGCAGUAGGGAAUCUUCCACAAUGGGCGCAAGCCUGAUGGAGCGACACCGCGUGAGUGAAGAAGGGUUUCGGCUCGUAAAGCUCUGUUGUUGAAGAAGAACGUGCGUGAGAGCAACUGUUCACGCAGUGACGGUAUUCAACCAGAAAGUCACGGCUAACUACGUGCCAGCAGCCGCGGUAAUACGUAGGUGGCAAGCGUUAUCCGGAUUUAUUGGGCGUAAAGCGAGCGCAGGCGGUUGCUUAAGUCUGAUGUGAAAGCCUUCGGCUUAACCGAAGAAGUGCAUCGGAAACUGAGCGACUUGAGUGCAGAAGAGGACAGUGGAACUCCAUGUGUAGCGGUGGAAUGCGUAGAUAUAUGGAAGAACACCAGUGGCGAAGGCGGCUGUCUGGUCUGCAACUGACGCUGAGGCUCGAAAGCAUGGGUAGCGAACAGGAUUAGAUACCCUGGUAGUCCAUGCCGUAAACAAUG
RNAcentral lists this ribosomal RNA (796 nucleotides) under uncultured bacterium. RNAcentral describes it as "bacterial SSU rRNA". It matches the Rfam family "Bacterial small subunit ribosomal RNA", at positions 59 to 811 of the family's 1533-position model. The record is from RNAcentral.